UAGUCCACGCAGUAAACGAUGAAUACUUGAUGUAGGAGGUAUCGACCCCUUCUGUGUCGAAGUUAACGUAUUAAGUAUUCCACCUGGGGAGUACGACCGCAAGGUUGAAACUCAAAGGAAUUGACGGGGACCCGCACAAGCAGUGGAGUAUGUGGUUUAAUUCGAGGCAACGCGAAGAACCUUACCAAGUCUUGACAUAUUUCGGAGGGACUUAGAGAUAAGUUCCAAGGACUUCGGUCCACUGAAAA
Molecule: ribosomal RNA, 248 nt
Filed under: uncultured bacterium
Lineage: Bacteria
Description: partial 16S ribosomal RNA
Rfam family: Bacterial small subunit ribosomal RNA
Source: RNAcentral